This 498-nucleotide ribosomal RNA is filed under the name uncultured bacterium. RNAcentral describes it as "partial 16S ribosomal RNA". It matches the Rfam family "Bacterial small subunit ribosomal RNA", at positions 28 to 523 of the family's 1533-position model. The record is from RNAcentral.
GAUGAACGCUAGCGGCAGGCCUAAUACAUGCAAGUCGAGGGAGAAUGUUGGAUUCGUCUGACAUGAAACCGGCGCACGGGUGCGUAACACGUAUGCAACCUACCUUUAACUGGGGUAUAGCUCAGAGAAAUCUGAAUUAAUCCCCCAUAAGACUACGACGUGGCAUCAUGAUGUAGUUAAAGCUCCGGCGGUUAAGGAUGGGCAUGCGGUACAUUAGCUAGUUGGUGAGGUAAUGGCUCACCAAGGCUACGAUGUAUAGGGGGUCUGAGAGGAUCAUCCCCCACACUGGUACUGAGACACGGACCAGACUCCUACGGGAGGCAGCAGUAGGGAAUAUUGGUCAAUGGACGCAAGUCUGAACCAGCCAUGCCGCGUGAAGGAUGAAGGCCCUAUGGGUCGUAAACUUCUUUUAUUAGGGAAGAAAAAACGGGAUGCGUCCUGUACUGACGGUACUUAAUGAAUAAGGAUCGGCUAACUUCGUGCCAGCCGCCGCAGUAA